GAUGUCCUACGGGGGGCAGCAGUGGGGAAUAUUGGGCAAUGGGCACAAGCCUGACCCAGCGACGCCGCGUGAAGGAAGAAGGCUUUCGGGUUGUAAACUUCUUUUCUCAGGGACGAAGAAAGUGACGGUACCUGAGGAAUAAGCCACGGCUAACUACGUGCCAGCAGCCGCGGUAAUACGUAGGUGGCAAGCGUUAUCCGGAUUUACUGGGUGUAAAGGGCGUGUAGGCAGGACUGCAAGUCAGACGUGAAAACCACGGGCUCAACCUGUGGCCUGCAUUUGAAACUGUAGUUCUUGAGUACUGG
Molecule: ribosomal RNA, 305 nt
Filed under: uncultured bacterium
Lineage: Bacteria
Description: bacterial SSU rRNA
Rfam family: Bacterial small subunit ribosomal RNA
Source: RNAcentral